GCCCUCCAGUUCCUUACCCUCAGGUCUGCACACUGUCGGGGUGGCUAUGAAAGGACGAAAAGGAAACUGAAGUGGACUUGGAUUUUUUUAGUGAUACACAAGUUCAUUUCAUGCAAAU
RNAcentral lists this small nucleolar RNA (118 nucleotides) under Echinops telfairi (small Madagascar hedgehog). RNAcentral describes it as "Small nucleolar RNA SNORA61 (ENSETEG00000026692.1)". Lineage: Eukaryota; Metazoa; Chordata; Mammalia; Afrosoricida; Tenrecidae. The record is from RNAcentral.